AGGUCAUGAUGAGGAUGUUGUAUUAGUAAUCCUUUGAGUUUUUCCCAAGCUGUAAACAAUGAUUCUCCUUUUGCCUGUUGGAAAUUUAUGAUUUGACUUCUAAAUUU
Zingiber officinale is the source of this 107-nucleotide small nucleolar RNA. NCBI's taxonomy places the organism in Eukaryota, Viridiplantae, Streptophyta, Magnoliopsida, Zingiberales, Zingiberaceae. The record is from RefSeq and is a predicted model, not a curated record.